Molecule: long non-coding RNA, 264 nt
Filed under: Lathyrus oleraceus (garden pea)
Lineage: Eukaryota; Viridiplantae; Streptophyta; Magnoliopsida; Fabales; Fabaceae
Description: Pisum sativum (pea) long non-coding RNA (PSAT_LNC006825)
Source: RNAcentral
GGUCUAUGCGUCGACGCAUAGCCUGCAGUUUUGGACAAACUGAAAAACACAUCAGUAUGCGUCGACCAUAGGUCGGCGUGCGCUGACCCGUGGGAAAUUGAAAACUUCAUGCGCCGACCCUGUGGUCGACUCAAGCCUCCGUGCGCUGACCCGUGACAAACUGCACUAUGUUAUGCGCCGACCCUGCGGUCGACUCAAACCCUGCAAAUCUGCAAAAAUUCAGAUUUUUGUGGUUUUCAUGCAUUUUGUCAUGACCACAUUUUA